Pelobates cultripes (western spadefoot toad) is the source of this 283-nucleotide non-coding RNA. The record is from the annotation of a GenBank genome assembly. Lineage: Eukaryota; Metazoa; Chordata; Amphibia; Anura; Pelobatidae.
GUGGAUUUUUGGAAAACUAUGUAAAAAGAGAAAGCUUCAAACAUCUGCAUUUUGCCAUGUCACAUCAGAUUUAACGCAAGAUGGCCAAAGAAAAGGGACUGUACUGCAAGCACAUAAUUAGUUUCUUGGGGAAUAAUGCACAAAGGAAACAAAAAAAAAGACUAUGGAGUUGGUCACAUCUCUCAAAUACAUACAGGCCUUUAUGAAUCUUGCUAAAGGUGUGGUGUGUUCCAUUAAAAGCUGUCUUUUUCAAUUCAAGAUGGCUGCUGGGAACAGACAUCUU